This 466-nucleotide ribosomal RNA is filed under the name Corynebacterium sp. 'ARUP UnID 224'. Its description in RNAcentral is "bacterial SSU rRNA". It matches the Rfam family "Bacterial small subunit ribosomal RNA", at positions 27 to 504 of the family's 1533-position model. Lineage: Bacteria; Bacillati; Actinomycetota; Actinomycetes; Mycobacteriales; Corynebacteriaceae. The record is from RNAcentral.
GGAUGAACGCUGGCGGCGUGCUUAACACAUGCAAGUCGAACGGAAAGGCCCAAGCUUGCUUGGGUACUCGAGUGGCGAACGGGUGAGUAACACGUGGGUGAUCUGCCCUGCACUUCGGGAUAAGCCUGGGAAACUGGGUCUAAUACYGGAUAGGACCACUUCUUGGAUGKUGUGGUGGAAAGUUUUUUCGGUGUGGGAUGAGCUCGCGGCCUAUCAGCUUGUUGGUGGGGUAAUGGCCUACCAAGGCGUCGACGGGUAGCCGGCCUGAGAGGGUGUACGGCCACAUUGGGACUGAGAUACGGCCCAGACUCCUACGGGAGGCAGCAGUGGGGAAUAUUGCACAAUGGGCGCAAGCCUGAUGCAGCGACGCCGCGUGGGGGAUGACGGCCUUCGGGUUGUAAACUCCUUUCGCUAGGGACGAAGCGUUUUUGUGACGGUACCUGGAGAAGAAGCACCGGCUAACUAC